Molecule: ribosomal RNA, 430 nt
Filed under: uncultured bacterium
Lineage: Bacteria
Description: bacterial SSU rRNA
Rfam family: Bacterial small subunit ribosomal RNA
Source: RNAcentral
AGAGUUUGAUCCUGGCUCAGAUUGAACGCUGGCGGCGUGCUUAACACAUGCAAGUCGUGCGAGAAAGGGGGCUUCGGUCCCUGAGUAGAGCGGCGCACGGGUGAGUAGCGCGUGGAUAAUCUCCCCAGAAGUUCGGGAUAACGGCGGGAAACUGCCGCUAAUACCGGAUACGCUCCAAUUUCGGUUGGGGGAAAGGCGGCCUCUGUUUACAAGCUGUCGCUUCUGGAUGAGUCCGCGUCCCAUUAGCUUGUUGGUGGGGUAAUGGCCUACCAAGGCUACGAUGGGUAGCUGGUCUGAGAGGAUGAUCAGCCACACUGGAACUGAAACACGGUCCAGACUCCUACGGGAGGCAGCAGUGGGGAAUAUUGCGCAAUGGGGGAAACCCUGAAAGGGAGCGACGCCGUGUGAGGGAUGAAGGCUUUCCCCUUUU